RNAcentral lists this ribosomal RNA (520 nucleotides) under uncultured Glomus. Its description in RNAcentral is "SSU rRNA". It matches the Rfam family "Eukaryotic small subunit ribosomal RNA", at positions 570 to 1093 of the family's 1831-position model. Lineage: Eukaryota; Fungi; Glomeromycota; Glomeromycetes; Glomerales; Glomeraceae. The record is from RNAcentral.
GCAGCCGCGGUAAUUCCAGCUCCAAUAGCGUAUAUUAAAGUUGUUGCAGUUAAAAAGCUCGUAGUUGAAUUUCGGGAUCGACGGGUUGGUCGCGCCUCUGGUGUGUACUGGCCCUGUCGGUUUCUCCCUUCUGAAGAACCGCGAUGUCAUUAAUUUGGUGUCGUGGGAAAUCAGGACUGUUACUUUGAAAAAAUUAGAGUGUUUAAAGCAGGCAUUCGCUUGAAUACAUUAGCAUGGAAUAAUGAAAUAGGACGUUUGAUCUUAUUUUGUUGGUUUCUAAGAUCGACGUAAUGAUUAAUGGGGAUAGUUGGGGGCAUUAGUAUUCAAUUGUCAGAGGUGAAAUUCUUGGAUUUAUUGAAGACUAACUACUGCGAGAGCAUUUGCCAAGGAUGUUUUCAUUAAUCAAGAACGAAGUUAGGGAUCGAAGACGAUCAGAUACCGUCGUAGUCUUAACCAUAAACUAUGCCGACUAGGGAUCGGAUGAUGUUAAUUUUUAUGUACUUCAUUCGGCNCCGUUACG